RNAcentral lists this ribosomal RNA (931 nucleotides) under Arachnomyces peruvianus. Its description in RNAcentral is "eukaryotic LSU rRNA". It matches the Rfam family "Eukaryotic large subunit ribosomal RNA", at positions 38 to 974 of the family's 3401-position model. The record is from RNAcentral. Lineage: Eukaryota; Fungi; Ascomycota; Eurotiomycetes; Onygenales; Arachnomycetaceae.
GCAUAUCAAUAAGCGGAGGGAAAAAGAAACCCAACAGGGAUUUGCCCCCAGUAACGGCGAGUGAAGCGGCAAGAGCUCAAAUUUUGAAAUCUGGCCCCCUCGGGGCCCGAGUUGUAAUUUGCAGAGGAUGCUUCGGGUUCGGCCCCGGUCUAAGUCCCCUGGAACGGGGCGUCAUGGAGGGUGAGAAUCCCGUCUGGGAUCGACGGCCCGGACCCGUGUGAAGCUCCUUCGACGAGUCGAGUUGUUUGGGAAUGCAGCUCCAAAUGGGUGGUAAAUUUCAUCUAAAGCUAAAUACUGGUCGGAGACCGAUAGCGCACAAGUAGAGUGAUCGAAAGAUGAAAAGCACUUUGAAAAGAGAGUUAAACAGCAUGUGAAAUUGUUGAAAGGGAAGCGCUUGCGACCAGACUCGCCCGCGGGGGCUCAGCCGGCAUUCUUGCCGGUGCACUCCCCCGCGGUCGGGCCAGCGUCGGUUUGGGCGGUCGGUCAAAGGUCCCCGGAAUGUGUCGCCCCUCGGGGCGUCUUAUAGCCGGGGGCGCAAUGCGGCCUGCCCGGACCGAGGAACGCGCUUCGGCACGGACGCUGGCGUAAUGGUCGUAAGCGGCCCGUCUUGAAACACGGACCAAGGAGUCUAACAUCUACGCGAGUGUUCGGGUGUCAAACCCGUCCGCGCAGUGAAAGCGAACGGAGGUGGGAGCCCUUAAGGGUGCACCAUCGACCGAUCCGGAAGUCUUCGGAUGGAUUUGAGUAGGAGCGUAGCUGUUGGGACCCGAAAGAUGGUGAACUAUGCCUGAAUAGGGUGAAGCCAGAGGAAACUCUGGUGGAGGCUCGCAGCGGUUCUGACGUGCUAAAUCGAUCGUCGAAUUUGGGUAUAGGGGCGAAAACUAGUAAUCGAACCAUCUGGUCAGCCACGUUCCUUGCCGAAGUUUCCCCU